GACGAACGCUGGCGGCGUGCUUAACACAUGCAAGUCGAACGGAAAGGCCCUGCUUUUGUGGGGUGCUCGAGUGGCGAACGGGUGAGUAACACGUGAGUAACCUGCCCUUGACUUUGGGAUAACUUCAGGAAACUGGGGCUAAUACCGGAUAGGAGCUCCUGCUGCAUGGUGGGGGUUGGAAAGUUUCGGCGGUUGGGGAUGGACUCGCGGCUUAUCAGCUUGUUGGUGGGGUAGUGGCUUACCAAGGCUUUGACGGGUAGCCGGCCUGAGAGGGUGACCGGCCACAUUGGGACUGAGGUACGGCCCAGACUCCUACGGGAGGCAGCAGUGGGGAGUAUUACACAAUGGGCCGAAGCCUGAUGCAGCGACGCCGCGUGCGGGAUGACGGCCUUCGAGUUGUAAACCGCUUUCGCCUGUGACGAAGCGUGAGUGACGGUAAUGGGUAAAGAAGCACCGGCUAACUACGUG
Molecule: ribosomal RNA, 468 nt
Filed under: uncultured bacterium
Lineage: Bacteria
Description: partial 16S ribosomal RNA
Rfam family: Bacterial small subunit ribosomal RNA
Source: RNAcentral